This is a long non-coding RNA of Macrosteles quadrilineatus (aster leafhopper), 657 nucleotides long. RefSeq lists it as uncharacterized. The transcript has 4 exons. The record is from RefSeq and is a predicted model, not a curated record. Lineage: Eukaryota; Metazoa; Arthropoda; Insecta; Hemiptera; Cicadellidae.
AAUUUGAUUACUAGGUCUAUCCUGUCAAAGCAACCUAAUAGUUUUGACUAUUUGGCCUAACCACAGUUCUAUACAAGACAGGUCUGUAAAUGUGUGACUCUUAUCAUCGUACCAUGGAUGGAAAUAAGAAAUUUGACAUAUUCUUCAAUAGGCCUAGUUCAGUCCUAGCUAGACCAUUUAGCUCAAGACCAAAAACAAUUCCUGCACACCAGGUUGUGAAUUCUGAAUUAUCGAUAUUGAUGAUGUGGCUACAGACAUUCUCCAUCUAGAUAUUUGGGAUCACGAUGACGAGUCUAGCGUGCUAGACGCGGUGAGCAAGCUCAAUGAAGUACGGGGUGUGAAAGGUCUGGGUCGAUUCUUCAAACAAAUCGCUCAGAGUGCUCGCACUGGCAGUACGGAUGACUUCCUCGGCUGUGUUAAUGUGCCUGUACAAGAUAUCCCAUCAACUGGACUCGAUCGCUGGUACCAGUUGGAGGCGCGGACGAACCGGUCAAAUAUCCAAGGCCGGAUCAGGUUGAAGCUAUGGCUGUCUACGCGGGAGGACCGGGGCGCUAGUGAGGAAGACAACUGGUCUGCGAUGCGCAGCUCACAUCGGCUACAUGCAGUGUUUAUUGACCACGAGACGGCUCUGGCGCAGGGACAGUGGAAUGGAGACCU